This is a long non-coding RNA of Lathyrus oleraceus (garden pea), 346 nucleotides long. RefSeq lists it as uncharacterized. Lineage: Eukaryota; Viridiplantae; Streptophyta; Magnoliopsida; Fabales; Fabaceae. The transcript is spliced from 2 exons. The record is from RefSeq and is a predicted model, not a curated record.
AUAUGGAAUUGUGUAUCGAAUGCUUGCUAACUAUGGUGAACUUGGACUGUAUGGAAUGUUGAUUGAAGGACUGCUAUACCAUGGAUUUAACAUGGCAUGGAAUUGAGAUUUGAUCAUGGAUGUGAUAUCAAGGCAUGCACCAAAAGGAUAUAGGAUUGAAGAUCAAUAUGAGGUGGUGGUGAUUAGGACUUAGGAAUAGGUGGUUGAGUUGACCAAAAAGUCAACAGUUGACCAAAGUUAACUGUAGGUUAGAAUAAGGUUUUUCUUGAUGUAAUUGUAUAAACUUGUACAUUUGAUGACUUGUAAUAUGGAAAAGUUCUUGAAGUGAAUAUAACAUGGAUUUUUA